CAGAGUUAUCUAACUCCCAAACCCAUGUGAACUUACCAUUUGUUGCCUCGGCAGAGCCUACCCGGUAACUGUUCGGAGAAGCUACCCUGUAGCUACCCUGUAACGGCCUACCCUGUAACGUCCUGCCGGUGGACUUUUAAACUCUUGUUAUUUUAUAGUAAUCUGAGUCAACUAUAAAUAAGUUA
This 185-nucleotide unclassified non-coding RNA is filed under the name uncultured Discosia. RNAcentral describes it as "sequence contains ITS1". The record is from RNAcentral. Lineage: Eukaryota; Fungi; Ascomycota; Sordariomycetes; Amphisphaeriales; Amphisphaeriaceae.